This 478-nucleotide ribosomal RNA is filed under the name uncultured bacterium. Its description in RNAcentral is "partial 16S ribosomal RNA". It matches the Rfam family "Bacterial small subunit ribosomal RNA", at positions 28 to 507 of the family's 1533-position model. The record is from RNAcentral.
GAUGAACGCUGGCGGCGUGCCUAACACAUGCAAGUCGAACGGAGUCCAGCCUUUAAGACCUUCGGGUCAAAGAGGGGAAGACUGAGUGGCGGACGGGUGAGUAACACGUGGGCAACCUGGCUCAUAGAGGGGGAUAACAGAGAGAAAUUUCUGCUAAUACCGCAUAAGCACACACUGCCGCAUGGCAGAGGGUGAAAAGAGAAUCGCUAUGAGAUGGACCCGCGUCUGAUUAGCCAGUUGGCAGGGUAAGAGCCUACCAAAGCGACGAUCAGUAGCCGAUCUGAGAGGAUGAACGGCCACAUUGGGACUGAGACACGGCCCAAACUCCUACGGGAGGCAGCAGUGGGGGAUAUUGCACAAUGGGGGGAACCCUGAUGCAGCGACGCCGCGUGAGUGAAGAAGUAUUUCAGUAUGUAAAGCUCUAUCAGCAGGGAAGAUAAUGACAGUACCUGAAUAAGAAGCCCCGGCUAACUACGUG